This 497-nucleotide ribosomal RNA is filed under the name uncultured bacterium. RNAcentral's name for it is "partial 16S ribosomal RNA". It matches the Rfam family "Bacterial small subunit ribosomal RNA", at positions 28 to 507 of the family's 1533-position model. The record is from RNAcentral.
GACGAACGCUGGCGGCGUGCCUAAUACAUGCAAGUAGAACGCUGAAGAGAGGAGCUUGCUCUUCUUGGAUGAGUUGCGAACGGGUGAGUAACGCGUAGGUAACCUGCCUCGUAGCGGGGGAUAACUAUUGGAAACGAUAGCUAAUACCGCAUAACAAUGGAUGACACAUGUCAUUUAUUUGAAAGGGGCAAUUGCUCCACUACAAGAUGGACCUGCGUUGUAUUAGCUAGUAGGUGAGGUAAUGGCUCACCUAGGCGACGGUACAUAGCCGACCUGAGAGGGUGAUCGGCCACACUGGGACUGAGACACGGCCCAGACUCCUACGGGAGGCAGCAGUAGGGAAUCUUCGGCAAUGGGGGCAACCCUGACCGAGCAACGCCGCGUGAGUGAAGAAGGUUUUCGGAUCGUAAAGCUCUGUUGUAAGUCAAGAACGGGUGUGAGAGUGGAAAGUUCACACUGUGACGGUAGCUUACCAGAAAGGGACGGCUAACUACGUG